UUAAGUGAAUAAGGGCGCACGGAGGAUGCCUUGGCACUAGGAGUCGAAGAAGGACGCGACAAACGGCGAAACGCCUCGGGGAGCUGUAAGUGAGCAUUGAUCCGGGGGUAUCCGAAUGGGGAAACCCGCUAGUGGUUAUACGCUAGCACCAUAUGGUGAAUACAUAGCCAUAUAGGAGACAGACCCAGGGAACUGAAACAUCUAAGUACCUGGAGGAAAAGAAAGAAAAAUCGAUUCCCGUAGUAGCGGCGAGCGAAGUGGGAAGAGCCCAAACCGGAUUUAUCCGGGGUUGUAGGACCUUCAUAAUUGACAAAUCAUGAUAGCCGAAUGGUCUGGGAAGGCCAACCGUAGGGGGUGAGAGUCCCGUAGGUGAAAUUGUGAGAUGCAUGGAAGGAAUCCUGAGUACGGCGGGACACGUGGAAUCCCGUCGGAAUCAACGAGGACCAUCUCGUAAGGCUAAAUACUACCUAGUGACCGAUAGUGAACCAGUACCGUGAGGGAAAGGUGAAAAGAACCCCGGAAGGGGAGUGAAAGAGAACCUGAAACCGUGUGCCUACAAAUAGUCAGAGCCCGUUAAUGGGUGAUGGCGUGCCUUUUGUAGAAUGAACCGGCGAGUUACGAUAUCGUGCGAGGUUAAGCAGAAGAUGCGGAGCCGUAGCGAAAGCGAGUCUGAAUAGGGCGAAGAGUACGAUGUUGUAGACCCGAAACCGUGUGAGCUAGCCAUGAGCAGGCUGAAGGUCAGGUAACACUGACUGGAGGGCCGAACCAGGGCACGUUGAAAAGUGCUUGGAUGACUUGUGGCUAGCGGUGAAAUUCCAAUCGAACUCGGAUAUAGCUGGUUCUCUCCGAAAUAGCUUUAGGGCUAGCCUCGAUGUUAAGUCUACUGGAGGUAGAGCACUGAAUGGGUGAUGGCCCCACCUCGGGGUACUGAUCUCAAUCAAACUCCGAAUGCCAGAUAGAUAUAAUCGGGAGUCAGACUGUGGGUGAUAAGGUCCAUGGUCAAAAGGGAAAGAGCCCAGACCGCCAGCUAAGGCCCCCAAGUGUCCGUUAAGUGGAAAAGGAUGUGGAGAUGCACAGACAACUAGGAGGUUGGCUUAGAAGCAGCCAUCCUUUAAAGAGUGCGUAAUAGCUCACUAGUCGAGUGACUCUGCGCCGAAAAUGUACCGGGGCUAAACGGACCGCCGAAGCUGCGGAUUGACUUUAGAGUCAGUGGUAGGAGAGCGUUCUAACAGCGGUGAAGCAGUACCGGAAGGAGCUGUGGAGCGGUUAGAAGUGAGAAUGCCGGUGUGAGUAGCGAAAGAUAGGUGAGAAUCCUAUCCAUCGAAAGCCUAAGGUUUCCAGGGGAAGGCUCGUCCGCCCUGGGUAAGUCGGGACCUAAGGUGAGGCCGAAAGGCGUAGCCGAUGGACAACAGGUUGAUAUUCCUGUACCACUUAUUAAACUGAUGGAGUGACGGAGAAGGCUAAGUUGAGCGUGUGAUUGGAUUCACGUGUAAGCAGUGAGGUGGUCAUGUAGGCAAAUCCGCAUGGCAUAACAUUGAGCUGUGAUGCCGAAGCCGAAUGGCGAAGUCAACUGACGUCACGCUUCCAAGAAAAGCUUCUAGGGUUAAUUUAAUAAGUGCCCGUACCGAUAACCGACACAGGUAGGCGAGGAGAGAAUCCUAAGAUGAGCGAGAGAACUCUUGUUAAGGAACUCGGCAAAAUGACCCCGUAACUUCGGGAGAAGGGGUGCUUGUGAAAGCAAGCCGCAGUGAAUAGGCCCAGGCGACUGUUUAUCAAAAACACAGGUCUCUGCUAAACCGCAAGGUGAUGUAUAGGGGCUGACGCCUGCCCGGUGCUGGAAGGUUAAGAGGAGAGGUUAGCGCAAGCGAAGCUUUGAAUUGAAGCCCCAGUAAACGGCGGCCGUAACUAUAACGGUCCUAAGGUAGCGAAAUUCCUUGUCGGGUAAGUUC
RNAcentral lists this ribosomal RNA (1949 nucleotides) under human gut metagenome. RNAcentral describes it as "bacterial LSU rRNA". It matches the Rfam family "Bacterial large subunit ribosomal RNA", at positions 1 to 1983 of the family's 2925-position model. The record is from RNAcentral.